UACGUAGGGUGCAAGCGUUGCUCGGAAUUACUGGGCGUAAAGCGUGCGUAGGCGGGUUGUUAAGUCAGGUGUGAAAUCCCCGGGCUUAACCCGGGAACUGCGCUUGUUACUGGCAGACUGGAGUGUGGCAGAGGGGGGUGGAAUUCCAGGUGUAGCAGUGAAAUGCGUAGAUAUCUGGAGGAACACCGAUGGCGAAGGCAGCCCCCUGGGCCAACACUGACGCUGAUGCACGAAAGCGUGGGGAGCAAACAGG
This 253-nucleotide ribosomal RNA is filed under the name uncultured bacterium. Its description in RNAcentral is "partial 16S ribosomal RNA". It matches the Rfam family "Bacterial small subunit ribosomal RNA", at positions 524 to 776 of the family's 1533-position model. The record is from RNAcentral.